This is a non-coding RNA of Prunus avium (sweet cherry), 1243 nucleotides long. Lineage: Eukaryota; Viridiplantae; Streptophyta; Magnoliopsida; Rosales; Rosaceae. The record is from RefSeq and is a predicted model, not a curated record.
CAAUUGAAUUUCGUCAAAGCCCCUUUUUGGUUCUCAGCCCAGUCCCAUUUUAGCUUUGUAUUCCUGAUAAGGUGUUUGGUUCUGUUGGUAUAUCCAUGUCCACCAAGAACACUGGGGUAAGUUUGAUCCUUGUAUCCCUAAGUGUAUAUCUUUGGGAUAUUCUGCCACUUAGAAUGGAAAGUUUUAUCACUCUCCUUCGCUGAAAAUGUUUGUUUUUGGUGAUAUCUCAUUUAGGGAAGAAACAUUUUAGGUGAACCAGAAACUUCUCUUCAGGGGGAGCGGGGUGUGAUUAAGGGAAGUUUUGGUAUAAGUUACCAAAGUUUCAUAGAUGUAAUUGGUAACUAUGCUAUCGUAGAAGUAGUGAAUUGGACACUUAAGACACCUGUUGACCAAUCAACUGACCAAUCAAUUGCCAUUCAUGUGAAUCCUGAAGUUGUUUGCAGAAUCCAACCCAUGUGUUGACCUUUUGGUAUUGAUUUAACUGAUAUGGAUGUGCAUGUUAAUGAUACUCGAUUCCCAGUAAGGGGACUAAUGCUGCUGGUUACCACUUCCUGUGAACAUAAGUCUCAUGAUUGUUGUCACCAUCUGUAUUUGUCUUAUCAAUAUUUAUCACAAUCUUAUAAAGAUUUUGCGACCUGGUCCUCUAUGUCUCUCCUUAUGUUCCUGGAAAAUCUAAUUGGAAGGCUGCUGUGGCUGAGGAAUGGAAGGUCUCGAAAAGAACUCUACUUGUAGUUGGUUGCAAAUGGAGAUAUUUAGGUGAAGCAGAAGGUAGACGGUUUUAUUGAAAGGGAUCUUGAGGAGGAAGUGUGAAUGAAUUCUUUCCUAGCUUUGCUACCAUUUUUUAAGGCGCAAGUGCAGAUUGAGAAAAUCACCAUAUAGGUUGAAGCAACAUCCUAAAGCUUGGUUUGGCAUAGUUAUGCAAUCUAUGAGAAAGCAUGGAUAUCACCACGACCAGUCUGUUUAGACAUUAUUACUUACAGCCUUAUGUAGAUGAUAUUGUGGUAAUUGGUAAUAAUACAAAGGAGAUGAAAACAUUUAGUUUAGAGGAUUUAUAGAAUUGCUCACUUUCACCUAUAUUUAUGAUGAAUACAUAUAACAAAGCUAACAUUAACUAUAAGUGCGAAAUUUUGUUUAAAUGCUCUCGUUUCAUAAGGAAUUGAAGAUCUUUAAUUAUGUCAUUUUCAAGUAUAACUGUUUUGAACUGAAUUUGAAUUAUAGGUGACUGGCUAGUAAUCCUUUUGUC